CCUACGGGAGGCAGCAGUGAGGAAUAUUGGUCAAUGGGCGCGAGCCUGAACCAGCCAAGUAGCGUGAAGGAUGACUGCCCUACGGGUUGUAAACUUCUUUUAUAAAGGAAUAAAGUGAGGCACGUGUGCCUUUUUGUAUGUACUUUAUGAAUAAGGAUCGGCGAACUCCGUGCCAGCAGCCGCGGUAAUACGGAGGAUCCGAGCGUUAUCCGGAUUUAUUGGGUUUAAAGGGAGCGUAGAUGGGUUGUUAAGUCAGUUGGGAAAGUUUGCGGCUCAACCGUAAAAUUGCAAUUGAUACUGGCAGCCUUGAGUACGGUAGAGGUAGGCGGAAUGCGGGGGGUAGCGGUGAAAUGCUGAGAUAUCACGAAGAACUCCGAUUGCGAAGGCAGCUUACUAGACUGCAACUGACGUUGAUGCUCGAAAGUGUGGGUAUCAAACAGGAUUAGAUACCCCAGUAGUC
RNAcentral lists this ribosomal RNA (460 nucleotides) under uncultured bacterium. Its description in RNAcentral is "partial 16S ribosomal RNA". It matches the Rfam family "Bacterial small subunit ribosomal RNA", at positions 338 to 795 of the family's 1533-position model. The record is from RNAcentral.